UCCGGCCCACGUAACUGGCGCUGCACGACUGCAGAGGUGGAACCGACCACCGGGAAGCGUCCCUCACUACGCCGUGCGCCUGGGUGUAGUGG
Molecule: non-coding RNA, 92 nt
Filed under: Acidobacteriota bacterium
Lineage: Bacteria; Pseudomonadati; Acidobacteriota
Description: Acidobacteria bacterium ZTP sequence
Rfam family: ZMP/ZTP riboswitch aptamer (pfl RNA motif)
About the family: Previously known as pfl RNA.
Source: RNAcentral